Molecule: ribosomal RNA, 273 nt
Filed under: uncultured bacterium
Lineage: Bacteria
Description: partial 16S ribosomal RNA
Rfam family: Bacterial small subunit ribosomal RNA
Source: RNAcentral
UACGUAGGGUGCGAGCGUUAAUCGGAAUUACUGGGCGUAAAGCGUGCGCAGGCGGUUUUGUAAGACAGAUGUGAAAUCCCUGGGCUUAACCUAGGAACUGCGUUUGUGACUGCAAGACUUGAGUGUGGCAGAGGGGGGUGGAAUUCCACGUGUAGCAGUGAAAUGCGUAGAGAUGUGGAGGAACACCGAUGGCGAAGGCAGCCCCCUGGGUUAACACUGACGCUCAUGCACGAAAGCGUGGGUAGCAAACAGGAUUAGAUACCCCCGUAGUCC